CCGACUCAAAGCAUCACAGAACUCUAAUCUUUUUCUUCAGAAGUCUCCCCAUAUACAACAGAACAAAACCCCAAGUACUUAUUUUGGCAUUCAAGACCUUUUACAACUUGUCCUAAACUAUAUCCACUCUCCUCCACUCCAAAUUUCCACUACUUCAAGUCCUCUAUGCUCCAGUCACACUGAAUGGUAGCUCAAUAUUGCCCAAACAUGUGGGCAUAACCUUGCAUUGCAAUGUUCUUUCAUAACUAACUGCAUAUGCUAUUCUUCCCAGCUACGCUAUGAGCAUCACAAAGGAAGAGACAACAACUGAUUCAUCUUGUCCUUUCCAGAUCUAACCCUGGGACUGGUAUUAAGAAAUGAGAAGAGCUAAAUCAGAUAUCCCUGGACUUUCUAUGGACCUGCCUUCAAUGGAGGGAGUGAGGUAAGGAUGAAAUUCGAUCAUCAAGAAUUACUUUGAAUGCAACACAGCUGUGGCUAUGUGCUCCUCUUUAAAAGGAAAAUACUCAUGGAAAAAUAAUAUGGCACUUCACAAUUGUUCAUCAGUUUUUGUCAAGAUAUUCUCAGGAGGAUAUGGAUCUGAGAAGAUAUUGCUGUGGCGUAUGUCAUAGAGUGUUUGGCCUAUGUUUUCCUCUAAGAGUUUUAUGGUAUCUGGUCUUAUAUUUAGGUCUUUAAU
Molecule: long non-coding RNA, 673 nt
Filed under: Sus scrofa (pig)
Lineage: Eukaryota; Metazoa; Chordata; Mammalia; Artiodactyla; Suidae
Description: lncRNA (ENSSSCG00070021307.1)
Source: RNAcentral